This 58-nucleotide microRNA precursor is filed under the name Branchiostoma lanceolatum (amphioxus). RNAcentral describes it as "Bla-Novel-12_pre stem-loop". The record is from RNAcentral. Lineage: Eukaryota; Metazoa; Chordata; Leptocardii; Amphioxiformes; Branchiostomatidae.
UACGGCUCCUCUAGCCGUGGUUGUCUAUCAAACUAGCCACUGCUUGAUGGGCCGAAGU